UGCGUAGGCGGAGAUUUAAGUCAGUGGUGAAACUUUAGGGCUUAACCUUAAAAUUGCCGUUGAAACUGGAUUUCUUGAGUACGGUGGAGGUAGGCGGAAUUUGUGGUGUAGCGGUGAAAUGCUUAGAUAUCACGAAGAACUCCGAUUGCGAAGGCAGCUUACCGGACCGUAACUGACGCUGAGGCACGAAAGUGUGGGGAUCAAACA
Molecule: ribosomal RNA, 207 nt
Filed under: uncultured Bacteroidota bacterium
Lineage: Bacteria; Pseudomonadati; Bacteroidota
Description: uncultured Bacteroidetes bacterium partial 16S ribosomal RNA
Rfam family: Bacterial small subunit ribosomal RNA
Source: RNAcentral